RNAcentral lists this ribosomal RNA (253 nucleotides) under uncultured bacterium. RNAcentral describes it as "partial 16S ribosomal RNA". It matches the Rfam family "Bacterial small subunit ribosomal RNA", at positions 524 to 776 of the family's 1533-position model. The record is from RNAcentral.
UACGUAGGGGGCAAGCGUUGUCCGGAUUCAUUGGGCGUAAAGAGCGUGUAGGCGGCCAGGUAGGUCGGUUGUGAAAACUGGAGGCUCAACCUUCAGAGGUCGACCGAAACCAUCUGGCUAGAGUCCGGGAGAGGAGAGUGGAAUUCCCGGUGUAGCGGUGAAAUGCGCAGAUAUCAGGAGGAACACCGGUGGCGAAGGCGGUUCUCUGGGCCUUACCCGACGCUGAGGAGCGAAAGCGUGGGGAGCGAACAGG